This 468-nucleotide ribosomal RNA is filed under the name uncultured bacterium. RNAcentral describes it as "partial 16S ribosomal RNA". The stretch from base 12 to 374 matches the Rfam family "Bacterial small subunit ribosomal RNA", at positions 39 to 400 of the family's 1533-position model. The record is from RNAcentral.
GACGAACGCUGGCGGCGUGCUUAACACAUGCAAGUCGAACGGAAAGGCCCUGCUUUUGUGGGGUGCUCGAGUGGCGAACGGGUGAGUAACACGUGAGUAACCUGCCCUUGACUUUGGGAUAACUUCAGGAAACUGGGGCUAAUACCGGAUAGGAGCUCCUGCUGCAUGGUGGGGGUUGGAAAGUUUCGGCGGUUGGGGAUGGACUCGCGGCUUAUCAGCUUGUUGGUGGGGUAGUGGCUUACCAAGGCUUUGACGGGUAGCCGGCCUGAGAGGGUGACCGGGCACAGGGGGAGUGAGAUGCGGCGGAGGCGGAAACGGGGGGCAGCAGGGGGGGAUGGGGGAUGACGGGCGGAAGGUUGACGCAGCAUCGCCGCGUGCGGGAGGAGGGAGUGCGGGUAGUAAACAGAGAACGACGGGGAAAAAGCGUGCGAGAAGGUGAGGGAUAGAGAAGAAAAGCAUAAGUAUGAG